UUGACCCCAAGGCCAAUAUUUUGCUUCUCUUAGGAAGGGAUAUAAUUCAGGUGCACAAGGUUCACGAACAACGAAAUGGGCCUCUCUUAGCUCCCUUUGCACAACGGUUAGAAAGGAGAGUUUGAUGACGACAAUCUCUAUGGCAAGCAGUGGAGGCAAGUCCAAGGUCUGGCCAACACCUUUUGGCAUCGUUGGAGGACAGAGUACCUACCCUCUCUGAAAAAUGGAGAAAAUGGCAAAAGGAAAUACAUAAUUUUCAAGCUGGAGACAUUGUAAUACUCAAAGACAAGCAGGUAAAACGAAACUAUUGGCCCCUUGGUAUUGUGGUCAAGACAUUCCCCAGCGCAGAUGGCAAGGUGAGAAAGGUGGAAAUCAAGACAGCAAACAAUGGUUCAUUCAAGACCUUUCUACGCCCUGUCUCAGAGAUUGUUCUACUCCUUUCCCCAGAGACAUUGUAGUUGUUUUGUGUUAGAGUGCAUUGUACAGUUGUGGUGGCAUCCUUUUAGAUACCAGGCGGGGAGUGUUCUGGCCUAAGCAAGGAGCUGUAGGUCACCUUGCAGCCACUAGGGGGUGCUACAUUUGUUGUUGUGUUUUUGGACCUCAUGGCUCACUGUAGGAGGCCAUUUUGGGUUUCUCAUUCAUUGAUAAGAGCAUGUUGUGGACACUUGCCUUAUGAAGGAUCUAAAUCCAUCCUGGACUAAGAAGGAACUGUAUAAUCAUUGUCUUUUUACUCCAUUUUGCAUUCUGUCAAUGAAUAACGGUGGCACGCAAAUAAAUCAACAUUUAUUGACUA
Labrus mixtus (cuckoo wrasse) is the source of this 793-nucleotide long non-coding RNA. RefSeq lists it as uncharacterized. Lineage: Eukaryota; Metazoa; Chordata; Actinopteri; Labriformes; Labridae. The record is from RefSeq and is a predicted model, not a curated record. The transcript is spliced from 2 exons.